AACUACUGUCAGCUCACAUUCCUGUGGCCAGAUCCCUCAAAACGCCCCAAAUCCUCCAGACUCCAAAACACCCCCAUUUUGCUCUCCUGCAGCCCAAAUCCCAUCCAGCCACCAGAAGCCCCCCUGUAGCCCACCCGGCAGCAGCCCCAACUCCCCGCCUUGGCUCCCCCCACUCUGGGACCCCAAAAACCUUUGGGGGCUUCUUGUUAUAGGGUCUGGGAGCCCCCUCUUCCUCCAAAGGCUUCACCCUGCUGUAGGUUGAGGUCCGAGGAUCCUGCACGUGGGUGCUGUGGGGACGAAGCCGUAGCAGCAGGCUCCGUUUCGGGGUACAAGCCCGCGUCGAUGCUCACUCCACUCAUCCUCAGCAUGGCCGUGCUUCGUCUCCAGCCCACAGGGGACAGGAAAAUUGGGGACACCGCAGGGAAAUACCCAGGGCUGGGACACAACCAGCCCCCAGCAGGUCCUUGCCCUUAUCCGAUUGAAGCAAAAAGCAGCCAAAACAGCACAAAGAGCCCCAAAUUAGUCACUUGUGAAAGAAAAACCCUGGGAGGUGGAGCAGGGGAGAGCAGCACGUGCGGCGGCAGCUUGGCUCCACGGAGGUGCUCGGCGAGGCUCCGAUCCUCUCCCAGUGCCCUCAGAUCCUGGGAAGGGGAAACCCAGGAGGAGGAGGAGGAGGAGGAGGAGGAGGAGGAGGAGGAGGAGGAGGAGGAAGGAGGAGGAGGAGGAAGAGCAGCAGCGGAGAGCAGAGGCCUGGGAGCAGCCACCAGCAGCCCGGCGGCCCCCACAGGCAAGCAGAAGGCCCGGUUAAAGAAGAGUGUGAAACCAGCCGAACACGAGUCCUUUCACUUCAUCUGACCUCAAAAGCCACCGCGGAGCAGCAGGACGCCAGCGAGCGGCCACCCUCACCUCCCGGCCGGACCCAGCUGGACCUGGAAAUCACCACUUGAAGCAAGAGCAGCAGAAAAAUCAUUCACAUUCUCGUAUCGAGAGGGAAAAGGUGGUCGGAGAUAGCGCUGGCUCUGUCCCCACGCGGCUGCAGUUUGGAGGCCAGACCCUAAACCCAGACACGAAGAUGACCUGCAGCGGUCGGAGCCGGGCGUUGAAGGGUUUGGGGCACAGGGAAAGGGCGAGCAGCCCCGAGCUCCUCUCCUCUCCAGCCCCUCGUGCCUCUGAACGUCCUUCGUUGGCUUCUUCCCUGCCACGCUUCGCCCAGCUCCCCGUCCAAAACCUCGCAGCUUCCUCGCGGGCACCCGCGCCGCGCGCCCUCUGCGUUAAAUAAAGCACAGCCCGAGCACACGCAACAAAGAAACGCUCUGCCACUUGCUCUUUUUUUGCAAUCUUUAUGUAGAUAUUUAACCCUACACCUUUAUCAAACAGAUAGGUAAUGAAUUCUACCAACUAAAAAAUAAAAUAAAAUAAAAUAAAAAUUAAUCAAGUAAAAUUCCGACUUCAUAUAAAAGCCCCCUGCGCACACGGCGGCAGGGCCGUCCCCACGGAGAGCACGCAGGGAGCAGGGGGCCCGGCCUCGUCCCCAUUCCUCCGCAUGCAGGUUCUGUCUCUCAGCUUACAGCCGGUGAGCUUCACACAAUCAGAGCUGGCAUUCAAAAGCGAUUAUAUAUACACACACAUAGGAAGUCAAACAGUGCUCCCAGGGGAAAAAAAAAAAAAAAAAAAAAAAAA
Molecule: long non-coding RNA, 1680 nt
Filed under: Cairina moschata (Muscovy duck)
Lineage: Eukaryota; Metazoa; Chordata; Aves; Anseriformes; Anatidae
Description: domestica (muscovy Duck (domestic type)) lncRNA (ENSCMMG00000013967.1)
Source: RNAcentral